This 306-nucleotide ribosomal RNA is filed under the name uncultured bacterium. Its description in RNAcentral is "partial 16S ribosomal RNA". It matches the Rfam family "Bacterial small subunit ribosomal RNA", at positions 507 to 807 of the family's 1533-position model. The record is from RNAcentral.
GACAGCAGUCGCCGCGGUAAUACAGAGGGUGCGAGCGUUAAUCGGAUUUACUGGGCGUAAAGCGUGCGUAGGCGGCUUUUUAAGUCGGAUGUGAAAUCCCUGAGCUUAACUUAGGAAUUGCAUUCGAUACUGGGAAGCUAGAGUAUGGGAGAGGAUGGUAGAAUUCCAGGUGUAGCGGUGAAAUGCGUAGAGAUCUGGAGGAAUACCGAUGGCGAAGGCAGCCAUCUGGCCUAAUACUGACGCUGAGGUACGAAAGCAUGGGGAGCAAACAGGAUUAGAUACCCGUGUAGUCCCUGUCUCUUAUAC